This 1832-nucleotide long non-coding RNA is filed under the name Felis catus (domestic cat). Its description in RNAcentral is "lncRNA (ENSFCAG00000052835.1)". Lineage: Eukaryota; Metazoa; Chordata; Mammalia; Carnivora; Felidae. The record is from RNAcentral.
GUCUCUUUUCAAGUCCUGUUUGUCUGGAGUGGAUCCAGGCGCAGCGUCUGGGCGAGCUGCCCAAUCAGCGCUGACCUCCUUUGUUUACCACGUGUGACCAGGGGGACCUGUGAGGUCCGGAGGCGACUCCGAGGAGGAGCACACGAAGUCCUGUGCUUCCCUGCCUCUGUGACCCCAGCAGAGCUCCGCACCCUGGAAGAGGCCGCCCUUCCAUCUUGGCAGAGUUGCUCCCUUCGGAAGGGCAGAGAUGCCUCCCCCGUCUGCCCAAGAUCGCCGUCCUCCUCCUUAAACCCCGACUGAUGGAAAACAGAAACCACUACAGGAACGGGAGGAGGAGGCAUCUGAAACACCCCCAAACCUUGGAUGCUGCUUAGGACUUCAGAAUUCAAAAGGCAGAAGCCAAGGUGCCUGCCUCCCACCCUGCCUGCUGGCCCAGAGCCCUCCCCUGGAGGGCCACACAUCCUGUGGCCAGACAGCCCCGCAGAAGGCCGAGGGGACUGUGGGGGCCGUCCAUCAGGUCUGUCCUCCCUUGACCCUUCCCCUUGUGGCCUGGUCAGCCCCACAGGGUGAGAAACACUGUGCGGUCAGGGCAGGCCCCUCCUUCCUUCGCAGGAGGCCCCAUCCGUGGGCUGGACCAGGGAGGGCCCCCGCCUGUAGGGGCAGGUCCGUGUGGGUGACACAGAGAUGCAUCUCAAUGUUAUCUUACUUUUUUAGAUGGCCAGCUGCCCUUGGCCUCCUCCUAUGUUACUUCCCUGGACUGCAAGGGAGCGAGGGAACAACAACAAAACUGGAAGGAAUGACAGUUAAAAUACUCUAUGAGAAACUGGUGUAGACAGAAGUCUUUUUCUUACGACCCACCGGCAUCCACCGGGAGAGCUGGCUGGAAAUCAAACGUCUCUGCUCUUAAGCCCCGUCCUGCCUUGGAAUCGUGAAGAUAAAGCCAACAGCAACAACAAAAUGAGAUAAAGAGACACCCCCCGCGGGGCUCCCCUGGCCCCAUGGGGGUCCGUCUGACUUUGGCACCCAGUUGACAGACCCUUUCGGGCCCAGUGGAGUGGCCCCCUGGGACAGGGCCCUGCAUAGUCACACCAGGGAUACUGGCUGUUUCCCUGGCUUGGGGGUUAUAACAAAGCACCACAGGCUGGGGGAGGCUUAGACAACAAGGCACAUACUUCUCACCGUUCUGGAAGCCAGAAGUCCAAGAUCAAGGUGCCCAUGGGUUCCGUUCUCUGAGAGGACUCUCUUCCUGGCUUGUCAACGGGCCACCUUCCCCCUGGGUCCCCACAUGAGGGAGACAGAAGGCUGUCUUUUCCCCUUCUUGUGAGGACACCGAUCCCAUCAUGGGGGCCCCCACCCCCGUGACCUCAUCUCAACCUACGUGCCUCCCAGAGUCCCAACUGCCCAAAUGCCAUCCCACUGGGGACUAGGGCUUCAAUGUACAGAUGUCAGGGGGACACAAAUGUUGGGUCCACGGCCCCGGUUCCUGCUGGGCUUUGCUUUUUCUCAACACAUCACUGCAUGGGCUGCAGUGGUCCCAGCAGUGAGGAUGGACCCAACUGGCCACUCCCCACCGAGGCUCCCAGGGUGCAGUUCACAGUAGGUCCUGGAGCCCCAUGUCCCGGCAGUCGUGGCGUCAUGGACGCAAACCUGGGGGCCCCUGUUCCCCAAGAAUCUGUGUCCAUGGCUUAGCAGGUUUCCUCUUAAUCCUUCAAAGAUAAAGGGCCCGCCUCCACCCCUCUCCCCACAGUCCCACGCAGGUGCUGCCACCUGCCAAUGCGGGGACACUGGUGGGCGUGGGAACAGGAACCUUCAGUAGCUCUGGGGGGCUUUCU